RNAcentral lists this ribosomal RNA (407 nucleotides) under Verrucomicrobiota bacterium. RNAcentral's name for it is "Verrucomicrobia bacterium partial 16S ribosomal RNA". It matches the Rfam family "Bacterial small subunit ribosomal RNA", at positions 355 to 776 of the family's 1533-position model. The record is from RNAcentral. Lineage: Bacteria; Pseudomonadati; Verrucomicrobiota.
UGGGGAAUAUUGGACAAUGGAGGAAACUCUGAUCCAGCAAUUCUGUGUGUGUGAAGAAGGUUUUAGGACUGUAAAACACUUUUAGUAGGGAAGAAAAAAAUGACGGUACCUACAGAAGAAGCAACGGCUAAAUACGUGCCAGCAGCCGCGGUAAUACGUAUGUUGCGAGCGUUAUCCGGAUUCAUUGGGCGUAAAGCGCUCGUAGGCGGUCUGUUAGGUCGGCAAGUUAAAUCCGGGGGCUCAACCCCCGUCCGCUUCCGAUACCGGCAGACUUGAGUUUGGUAGGGGAAGGUGGAAUUCCUAGUGUAGCGGUGGAAUGCGCAGAUAUUAGGAAGAACACCGGUGGCGAAGGCGGCCUUCUGGGCCAUAACUGACGCUGAGGAGCGAAAGCUAGGGGAGCGAACAGG